UAAACACCAAUCAAUUGGAACUUCACAAACAAUAUAAGUUUUAGAAUUUGACAAAGUGGGGAAGCUGAUAAAAUUGUGAAAAGACUGAUGCAAAGGAGCUCAAAAUGAUACAGCAGUCCAGCAGCCAAGGGAUAAACAUGUUUCUAGGGCUUUGGCAAAGAGUAAAUUUCACCACUGUAACACGUACUUUAGCACUGAAGGCUAAGAAGACGAGACUUGUUAUCUGUUGUUUCAUUAAUAAUGUGUUGUGAUUAAACAACGAUUAAGCACCAAUCCACAAACUAAAAAUUCAUAAUUGUACCACAGCUCUUCACAGGGCAUGCCAAAAUUUGUAUCUGUUGCUCGAAAGGAUCAUGGAAGGAUGGGGAGCUCAACUUUGUUGAAUGUGAAAAAGCUCAAACGUCCAUGCUCAACAAGACAGAAUUUCAACGGAAUACCAUGAGAAUGUCUCUCAAGAUCUUCAAUUUCUUCUUUGGAGGGCGGAUACUCACUAGCAAGACAAAGUACAAAACAGGGAUCACCAGGAGCAGACUUUCUGAAUCUGCUAUUAGGAGGGUAAACGUCAAAGGCCAGUUUCAAUCCACCAAUCUGCAUAUUAUUAAUCAUUUCAUAGAUGAGAAUGCUGUUUCUUGAUUCUUCAUCUCCACUUUGAGCAGGCUCCAGCGUGUCUUGGUUAACAAUACUAUUUGCUUUUGACCUUCUUCGUGACCAAGGAAUCCCAUGACGCCCAACUAUAUAACCAAGAGAUUUCAAGUGCUUAUAUGCUUCAUAAUAUUCCAAGGAACAUCCAUUUUUUCCUUUUGCAACCUUGUUGUAUACAUGUUCCAGAGAAAUGGGCGUGUCAUCUUCACUGAGGAGAUGUAAAGCCCCAAUUUUUGCAAGAUAUCUAAGAAGGAAGCAGCGGCGUCUGGCGGCUGCUGCUUUUCUUGAUACGCGGAGUCGCUGUAGCAGAGUUUUCGUCAGUCGGAGGUUCGCUGGGCGUUGGAGUUGUUGGCGCUGCUACUGCCGUCCUCGACGAGCUGCUGCUGUUCGCGGUUGCUGCUACUGCUCAGAGAAAAAGAGAAGAAGAGGAUAUGGGGAGAGGGAGAAGAAAGGAAAAGAGGGAGGCGGAAGAAGAGAAGAGGGAGAGACGGGAGAGGGGAGAAAGACGAAGGAAGGGAGGAAACAGGGGAGAGAGAGAUGGUCGUUUGUUGCUCGGGCUGCUGGUGGGCCGUUGCUGUCCAUGCCGGUCGCUGCUGCUGGCGGUUGUCUCCGGUUG
This 1258-nucleotide unclassified non-coding RNA is filed under the name Hevea brasiliensis (rubber tree). The record is from RNAcentral. Lineage: Eukaryota; Viridiplantae; Streptophyta; Magnoliopsida; Malpighiales; Euphorbiaceae.